UUCUCUUCUUUGUUUUGAUUGAAUUUUUAUCUCUUGCUCUGAAUCCUUGAAGUUUCUCUAUUAGUAAUUCCCUGGCUUUUGAAUAGUUGCUCAUUAGAGAGUUAAUAUCUAGUGAUUCAUUGAGAUGUUUCAGUAUGUCCAAUAGAACAACUAGAGAUUAAUAGAACAAUUUCAAUGGGCUGUGUACAGUUUUGAGAACACUGGAUAAACGUUAAUUUAAGCUUCAGCUGUGUGUACUUAUUUGAUGAGGCUCUUGAAUGUGCACCCAAUGUAGCUACUAGGCUACUACCCGAUGUCUCAUUUUAUUAUGUUAGAUGAACAAGGGAGGCAUGAUACGUAGGCGAUCCUUUGAUUUUAUAGAAACCGCUGCUUGUUAAAUGAGUAGUCCUGCACUUUACCUACAUUUUGGUGCGAGGAAGAUAUUAUCAUAUAGAUGCCUGACUUGGCUCAUUGUAAGUAGCUCCCUGUUGUGUGCAUUCACUCUUAAUCUACACUACAACCUUGUCAAAAGAAAAGGAAGAAAAAGAUAGUGGUUAGCCUUCAAGUGUUUAAUGGACUAAGCACGCAAUGGUCUAACACAGUAAUUCCAACAAGAGUAUUUUAAAACAUGCAAGAAUACCACAUUUAGGGUUCGAACCUGCAACCUAAAAGAACUCUUUUAUCACCUUUGCCACUACAAAGGUGUACAAGAGAUUUGUUUUUGCGCAAUUUGCAAAGCAUAAUUGUCCGGCAAAGAUUCUUCAAUUAAACUCCCUUCAUUAUAUUACAUAUUUCAUUAAAAAGGAAUAAAAUGCACCCCCUUAAUUAUAUAUGUAGCUUCGUCACUGCAGGCAUGUAUUCACCAUAUUAUAAAGUUUGAGAACAUUCCUAGUGUGUUAGAUCGUUUGUGAUUGUAAAGGAUGUGCACUUUGCAAAAUCCGCACGCAUGUUAAUUGCAUGAUGAAUUGCAUGAGGCACUGUGCUUUAAGCUUGUCUGGUGGAGAUUGUUUUGGUGUUAAGGUUUGACCUCAUUUGAACUCUUCUCUGAUCCCAUCUAAUCUGAUCUCUAUCAAUGGCAGGGUGAUGACGACUCUGAUGAUGACGAGGAGAAGAAACAACACUACAAGCACCACCACCGCAAACACUAUGAUGAUUGAGCAAGUGUGCUUUAAUCAUCUGAACCAGAUUUAUGCCACACUAAGAACUAUUUAUAAAAUAAAAGUUGGCAAGUUUGAGAUAUAUUUUGUUUGUGAAUGUUUGCUAUGUUGGCUGGACUGGACUGUCCAGUUAUUCAUGUGAUGUAUUUUGCUUUGUGCAAAUCCCUGACAUUUGUCAGGGUUAGUAUGCCAUGAAUGUGUGAACUUUAUGAUCAUGAUGACUCUUAUCUCUAUCCCUAGUUCUUAUCAUACUCAUACAUAUCAAAUAUUGAUGAUGAGAACUUAGCAAAUUCAUUCGGCUGGAACGAAUGAUGUACGUUUGCAAUUUACUCAUGGUUUGUGAUUGACUUGAUCGCUAUAUUCCAGCAUCUCUAUUGAGAGUGCAGAGAUCUUCUGAUUGGUGCUGCACGUCAUGUGCCAGCAUAUUUGCUACUAUGAUCGGAAUUGUUAAUUUAUCUUCUUUUCUUUCCUCUUUACUUUCUUGAAUAGAAAAUACGAAAAAUGGUACCCUCUUACUUGCCAUUUUGGUUCACUUAUGCCCUUUGGUAGUUAGGUCAGUAUUAAAUUAAAAGUAAUUAUAAUUAGUUAAAUUUUAUGUGGCUACUUCUUAUUGGCCAAAAUUAAACCAUCUAACUCAUUAGAAAGAUUCACCCAUAUCUACCAAUUUUUUGUACUCACCCGUUUUAAAUACUAACCCGACCAGAGCAAAAAGAAACUAAAAAAGAGAGGUGCCAUUUUUAUCAAACUCCAUGGACGUUGCUGCGAACAUAUAGAUGCAAAUUUAUUACGUGAUUUUCUAUUUCUUGUUAUGACAUUUAAUUCAAACAUGAUAAACACAAAUUGAUUCGAGAUGAGUUUAAUUUAAUCAUUUUUAUAUGACAGAAAGACCUAAAGUGAUUGUAUGGAAGAUAUCAUAAAUCAUUGGACUACCUCUAGUUUUUCGUCCCGCAUUAUUGUCAAGAAAAUCAUGCUCAUUCAUGCUAGGCUUUUCUUAUUUGUUUGAUUUGUUCAUGAAUCUUUAUUGAAUGAUAAUGCUAUACAUUAGAUUAAUCAAGAAAAUGAACACAUGUAAAUCCAUGAGUUAAGAUGGAAAUAAGUGUCUUUUAUUUUUAUUUGAACAUUUUAUUUGGGUCAGGUUAGUAUUUUGGGUGGUUUAGUCUGAAAAACGAGUAUAUAUGGGUGGGUCUUUCGAUAUGUUAGAUAUUUUAAUUUCGAUCAAUAAGAAGUUGUCGCGUGAAAUUUAAAUAAUUAUUUUUCAAAUUCAGCAGUGAUCAAAUGGUCAAAGGGCAUAAGUAAACCAAAAAGGUGGAUGGAUGGACACUUUUUGUCCAGUAGGUGGAAGAAGGAUAUUUUUAGACCGUUCAAUAGUUAAGAGGAAUUUUUUUUACCCUUCCCCAUAGAAAAUAUAUACUCGGGAGAAAUUCAAAAAUAGCCAAAUUUUUAAGUAAUCAUUCAAAAAUAGCCACAGUUUCAAAAGUAAUAGAAACUUAGCCACUUUUCAUGUAAAGAUAAAUUUGAACGAAAACACUGUUCAAAAUUUGAAAAAAUACUUCAGUAUAUUAUACUAGAGUUCCAGUUAUUGGAUGUGAAAUCAACUCUGUUGGUUUUAAAAUCUGUCCGUGGGUGUUCAAUUUGUUACUGUUGUUGCUGUUUGCUAUUGUUGCUGUUACUGCUGAUCCUUUUCUUCUCCUGUCCGAUUUCUCUAAUCGAGGUAUUCACUUGAGUUAAAUAUUGGUGUAACUGCGCGGUUGAGCAUGAGUUGAAAUGUGAAGACUUUUUAUUAUGAAAUAUUGUACUUCUAGUUUAAUAGAUAAAAUGAUAAUUAGUUAUGUAAUUUUUGGUUUAUAAUUCAACAGAAAUGCAUUAGGUAGUUUGUACUUAACUGAAGCUUUAUUUGUUUAAAACUGCAAUUUGUAGUUGCUUAAUAUAGUUAUGUGAUUUGUAGGAAUGAACAUGUAGUUAGUAGAUUGAUAACUAGAUUUCAUCCCUAGUCGUCUUUUACAUAUAUAAGGUAAUCCGGAAUCUGCUUCAAUUCAAAUUGGUAAAUAGCUAGUAUGGAGAAUCGAUUUAACUUAAUUGGUUGGCAAGAUCUAGCUCUGAACUUGCGAAUAUUGGAAUAGAAGUAAUUUAAAAUUUGUGAUUUUUGAAUCUUGUUAGUAACAAAGAUCUGCAAGUAUUAGGCAAACAUAGUUGGUUAUUAAUUCUGUAGAAUCAAGAUGUAGCAAGGGAUAAUGUUACUUUAAUAGGCAUGAUUUGAGUUCAAACAAGGCGAGUUAACGUUUAAGUUUAAUAGCUUUCUAAUAAGCUUUAGUAAUUAUG
This 3455-nucleotide long non-coding RNA is filed under the name Nicotiana benthamiana. RNAcentral describes it as "long non-coding RNA (NBEN_LNC026303)". Lineage: Eukaryota; Viridiplantae; Streptophyta; Magnoliopsida; Solanales; Solanaceae. The record is from RNAcentral.